Molecule: ribosomal RNA, 497 nt
Filed under: uncultured bacterium
Lineage: Bacteria
Description: partial 16S ribosomal RNA
Rfam family: Bacterial small subunit ribosomal RNA
Source: RNAcentral
GAUGAACGCUGGCGGCGUGCCUAAUACAUGCAAGUCGAGCGAACAGACGAGGAGCUUGCUCCUCUGACGUUAGCGGCGGACGUGUGAGUAACACGUGGAUAACCUACCUAUAAGACUGGGAUAACUUCGGGAAACCGGAGCUAAUACCGGAUAAUAUAUUGAACCGCAUGGUUCAAUAGUGAAAGACGGUUUUGCUGUCACUUAUAGAUGGAUCCGCGCCGCAUUAGCUAGUUGGUAAGGUAACGGCUUACCAAGGCAACGAUGCGUAGCCGACCUGAGAGGGUGAUAGGCCACAAGGGAACUGAGACACGGUCCAGACUCCUAAGGGAGGCAGCAGUAGGGAAUCUGACGCAAUGGGCGAAAGCAUGACGGAGCAACGCCGAGUGAGUGAUGAAGGUCUUCGGAUCGGAAAACUCUGUUAUUAGGGAAGAACAAAUGUGUAAGUAACUAUGCACGUAUUGACGGUACCUAAUCAGAAAGCAACGGCUAACUACGUG